This 1476-nucleotide ribosomal RNA is filed under the name metagenome. RNAcentral's name for it is "bacterial SSU rRNA". It matches the Rfam family "Bacterial small subunit ribosomal RNA". The record is from RNAcentral.
AGAGUUUGAUCCUGGCUCAGGACGAACGCUGGCGGCACGCCUAACACAUGCAAGUCGAACGGAGAUGAUUUGAGUUUACUUAGAUCAUCUUAGUGGCGGACGGGUGAGUAACACGUGAGCAACCUGCCUUUGAGAGAGGGAUAGCUUCUGGAAACGGAUGGUAAUACCUCAUAACAUACAGAUACCGCAUGGUGACUGUAUCAAAGAUUUAUCACUCAAAGAUGGGCUCGCGUCUGAUUAGAUAGUUGGUGAGGUAACGGCUCACCAAGUCGACGAUCAGUAGCCGGACUGAGAGGUUGAACGGCCACAUUGGGACUGAGACACGGCCCAGACUCCUACGGGAGGCAGCAGUGGGGAAUAUUGCACAAUGGGGGAAACCCUGAUGCAGCGAUGCCGCGUGGAGGAAGAAGGUUUUCGGAUUGUAAACUCCUGUCUUAAAGGACGAUAAUGACGGUACUUUAGGAGGAAGCUCCGGCUAACUACGUGCCAGCAGCCGCGGUAAUACGUAGGGAGCGAGCGUUGUCCGGAAUUACUGGGUGUAAAGGGAGCGUAGGCGGGACGGCAAGUCAGAUGUGAAAUACAUGGGCUCAACCCAUGGGCUGCAUUAGAAACUGCUGUUCUUGAGUGAAGUAGAGGUAAGCGGAAUUCCUGGUGUAGCGGUGAAAUGCGUAGAUAUCAGGAGGAACACCGGUGGCGAAGGCGGCUUACUGGGCUUUUACUGACGCUGAGGCUCGAAAGCGUGGGGAGCAAACAGGAUUAGAUACCCUGGUAGUCCACGCUGUAAACGAUGAAUACUAGGUGUCGGAAAGCACAGCUUUUCGGUGCCGCCGCAAACGCAUUAAGUAUUCCACCUGGGGAGUACGUUCGCAAGAAUGAAACUCAAAGGAAUUGACGGGGACCCGCACAAGCGGUGGAGCAUGCGGUUUAAUUCGAAGCAACGCGAAGAACCUUACCAAGUCUUGACAUCCUUCUGACCGGACAGUAAUGUGUCCUUUCCUUCGGGACAGAAGUGACAGGUGGUGCAUGGUUGUCGUCAGCUCGUGUCGUGAGAUGUUGGGUUAAGUCCCGCAACGAGCGCAACCCUUAUCCCCAGUAGCCAGCAUUUCGGGUGGGCACUCUGAGGAGACUGCCAGGGAUAACCUGGAGGAAGGUGGGGAUGACGUCAAAUCAUCAUGCCCCUUAUGACUUGGGCUACACACGUGCUACAAUGGCGUAAACAAAGGGAAGCAAGACCGUGAGGUGGAGCAAAUCCCAAAAAUAACGUCUCAGUUCGGACUGUAGUCUGCAACCCGACUACGCGAAGCUGGAAUCGCUAGUAAUCGCAGAUCAGAAUGCUGCGGUGAAUACGUUCCCGGGUCUUGUACACACCGCCCGUCACACCAUGGGAGUUGGAAAUGCCCGAAGUCAGUGACCCAACCGCAAGGAGGGAGCUGCCGAAGGCAGGUUCGAUAACUGGGGUGAAGUCGUAACAAGGUA